AUGCUGUGAUGACGUUUUCAACUGUGGUUUCUGUUCACCGACGGUUGAAUGAGGACAGAUAAUUCCUUGGCUGUGUCUGAGCAU
RNAcentral lists this small nucleolar RNA (84 nucleotides) under Ornithorhynchus anatinus (platypus). RNAcentral describes it as "Small nucleolar RNA SNORD53/SNORD92 (ENSOANG00000046961.1)". It matches the Rfam family "Small nucleolar RNA SNORD53/SNORD92". From Rfam's summary of the family: U53 is a member of the C/D class of snoRNA which contain the C (UGAUGA) and D (CUGA) box motifs. Lineage: Eukaryota; Metazoa; Chordata; Mammalia; Monotremata; Ornithorhynchidae. The record is from Rfam by way of RNAcentral.